UACGGAAGGCAGCAGUGGGGAAUAUUGCACAAUGGGCGCAAGCCUGAUGCAGCCAUGCCGCGUGUAUGAAAAAGGCCUUCGGGUUGUAAAGUACUUUCAGUCGUGAGGAAGGUGUUAAGGUUAAUAACCUUAGCAAUUGACGUUAGCGACAGAAGAAGCACCGGCUAACUCCGUGCCAGCAGCCGCGGUAAUACGGAGGGUGCGAGCGUUAAUCGGAAUUACUGGGCGUAAAGGGCACGCAGGCGGUUAAUUAAGUUGGAUGUGAAUCCCCGGGCUUAACCUGGGAAUGGCAUUCAAGACUGGUUAGCUAGAGUCUUGUAGAGGGGGUAGAAUUCCAUGUGUAGCGGUGAAAUGCGUAGAGAUGUGGAGGAAUACCGGUGGCGAAGGCGGCCCCUGGACAAAGACUGACGCUCAUGUGCGAAAGCGUGGGGAGCAAACGAGGAUUAGAUA
RNAcentral lists this ribosomal RNA (450 nucleotides) under uncultured bacterium. Its description in RNAcentral is "bacterial SSU rRNA". It matches the Rfam family "Bacterial small subunit ribosomal RNA", at positions 340 to 784 of the family's 1533-position model. The record is from RNAcentral.